CAGCCGUAAACUAUGCGCGUUAGGUGUACUGGUGACCACGAGUCACCGGGGUGCCGAAGGGAAACCGUGAAACGUGCCGCCUGGGAAGUACGGUCGCAAGGCUGAAACUUAAAGGAAUUGGCGGGGGAGCACCGCAACGGGAGGAGCGUGCGGUUUAAUUGGAUUCAACACCGUAAAACUCACCAGGGAAGACUGUUACAUGAAAGCCGAGUUGAAGACUCUGCUAGAUCUUCAGAGAGGUGGUGCAUGGCGUCAGUGACU
This 261-nucleotide ribosomal RNA is filed under the name uncultured archaeon. Its description in RNAcentral is "partial 16S ribosomal RNA". It matches the Rfam family "Archaeal small subunit ribosomal RNA", at positions 748 to 1008 of the family's 1478-position model. The record is from RNAcentral.